UACAGAGGGUGCAAGCGUUGUUCGGAAUUACUGGGCGUAAAGCGCGUGUAGGCGGCCUUUCAAGUCCUGUGUGAAAUCCCAUGGCUCAACCAUGGAAGUGCACCCGAAACUGCAUAGCUAGAGUCCUGGAGAGGAAGGUGGAAUGCUUGGUGUAGAGGUGAAAUUCGUAGAUAUCAAGCGGAACACCGGUGGCGAAGGCGGCCUUCUGGGAAGAUACUGACGCUGAGGUGCGAAAGCGUGGGGAGCAAACAGG
This 253-nucleotide ribosomal RNA is filed under the name uncultured bacterium. Its description in RNAcentral is "partial 16S ribosomal RNA". It matches the Rfam family "Bacterial small subunit ribosomal RNA", at positions 524 to 776 of the family's 1533-position model. The record is from RNAcentral.